GGGCCCAAAAAGUAAACAAAAGAAAAACUUCUAUCCACACUCCUUCAAGUUACUAAAAAGAUCAAACAUUGUUCAUCAUCAUUAUUACUACCCACACCACUGCUACUCCCGAGGGUGAGUGACUGCUUCGGGUUACCGUGCGAGCGAGAGCAUAGCAUUUCCCCCUUUACAGUACGUCACAAGCCGUUACUCUCUCUCUCUCUCUCUCUCUCUCUCUCUCUCUCUCUCUCUCUCUCUCUCUCUCUCUCUCAAUUUGCGAAUCACCAGAAAAGCGUCAUCGCACACCGCAGGGUUCCGAUUUUUCAUUCAACCGCGAGUUUAACUCUCUGAUGAUACAAAAGUGUAAAUCCACCGCAUAAAAGGAACGAUUAUUUAUCAAUUUUCAAUAUUCACUUGAAAACCUAGGGUUCAUAUACCAAUGGAAGAUUUGAGGUUAGGGACAACGAAGAAGAAGAAGAGAUCUAAACCGAUUGAAAUUGGUUUUGAUUCUGAUAAUGAUGAACCAAUUGGUUCAUUGCUUAAGUUUAAGAAGAAUAAGAAGGCUGAGAAUUCUAGGGUUCUUGAUGAUAAUGAUACUUUGGCUAGUUUUAGGAAGAGGUUGAAGGGUCCAAAGAGAGAUCAUGGAUCUGAAACUGUGUCUGCUUUGAAUGUUUCUGUUGAGGGUUGUGAUGAUGAUGGUUUGGUUGAAGGAGGAUCUGGGAGGAAGGAUGAGGAAGGGGUGGAUUUAGGUGUUGGUGAUGAUGACAUGCAGGUGCAUCAUUCUUCUGAUCAGCAUAUGGAAGAAUCGUUGUCUAUGAUAUUUAAUAAGUCACAAUCUAGUUCUGUUAAGAAAUCUAGGGCUGGGUUAGGUUCAAAGAAGAAAAGAGGGAAUCAGAAUGUGGAUAGUGGGUUGGAACAUGGAUGCAAUAGUUUGACAGAAAAUGUUGAUUCUGUGAUUGAAAGUAGAUCUGGAUCUGCUUUUGUGUUGAAAUCGGUUGAGAGGAAUCAUGAAUCUGAUAUGUUUUGUUCAGUAUCUGCAAUGGACGAUCAAAAGGGCAGUGAUGACUAUUUUCAAGAGGAGAAGGUGAAGGGUAUUUGUGAUUCAAACAAUCCAGAUGGGUUGUCGUUUGAUCACUCUAAACGAAUCAUUGACUGCGAUGGAGAUAGGCAGCAAUUGUCAAGUGUACAUGUCAAAGAUGUUUGUGGCGCUUCUGACGAAAAGGUUGCAUUGCAGGAAAGAAUGCUAGAUAAUAGUUUGAAUCAGCGUUCUGCCAUGUUACAAGAUGUUGAAAUAAUUGAUACUGCCUCUCCAUCUAAACUGGGGGAAAGGGUAUGUGGAUUUUCCGAGACUGGAGAGCUUGAGAAUAAGUUAACCGAUGAAAUAGCAGAAAAACAAGUGUGUAAUGGUGCUUCUGGAAUGUUUUCCUCAAUCAAUGGAGGUAUAAAAUUGGAAGCUGAGUUUGUUUCUGGUCAAAAUUGUUAUGAUUACAGUACAUCAGAUACAAAUGCUGAAGUUCAAGAUGUUGUUGUAGGCCGUUCACCUGAAAAACAUGAUGCAAUUGUCAGUGGUUGUUUAUCCUCUAUUGUCCCUAACGGCGCCAAUGAAUCUGAAUUUAUUGUCCAGUCGAAUCACCCAGACAAACCUUUGGAAAUGUGUAAUAUUCCAAAAGACUCCACUGUUUCAAUUCUGAAAUGCAGCUCUGUGUUAGAUCCAACUCAAUCUGAUGGAUCCUCUAUACAAUCUUCAAUUCCAGAUGAAAAUGGAAACAUUGCAGAAUAUAAUGCCUCUGUGUCUGAUUUUACUGACAAUGGUGGAAAGAUAUCAGGCAUUCCUCGUGCACCACGAAAGACUAAAAUGAAUAAGCAUGGCGACAUGACUUAUGAGGGUGAUGCUGAUUGGGAGAUUUUAAUAAAUGAUAAAUCCCUAAAUGAAAGCCAAUAUGGUGCUGAUGGUGAACCUACUCUUAGAACAAGAGGGAAGCAGGACUCCUCUUUGAAUGCUGUUGAGGACUCUGAAAAUGUUGCAGUAGCGGCAGUAUCUGCUGGGCUGAAAGCUUGUGCAGUUGGUCCAAUUGAGAAAAUAAAAUUUAAGGAGAUCUUGAAGCGAAAAGGUGGUCUCAAGGAAUAUUUAGAUUGCAGGAAUCAGAUCUUAAGCCUAUGGAGCAGUGAUGUUGCACGUAUUUUGCCCCUUGCUGAAUGUGGAGUUAGCGAUAUCCGUUCCGAGAAUGAAAAUCCUCGUACUUCUCUUAUUAGGGAGGUCUAUGCAUUUCUUGAUCAAUAUGGUUAUAUAAAUGUUGGAGUUGCCUCUCAAAAGGUGAACGUUGAGAGCAGUGCAAGACACUGUUAUAAACUUGUAAAAGAAAAAGGAUUCGAGGAAAGUUCUACAGCUUCGUUGGCCGGCUCUGAAGAUGGCGUUUCUUUUAUUGUUGGUCAGGCUAAAAUGUCAUAUGCUUCUAUGGAUGAUAAUGAUGGUCUAGUAAAGGAUUUUGAAGACCUGACAACUGAAGCUACAGAAGGCACCAUGCUUGUUAAUGAAGCGAUGAUGGAUUCAUCAAACAUGGCACAACAUGAAAGAAAAAAUUAUGAUGACCUGGAAAAUGUUGGGAUUCAGGAUGGCGACAGUGGAAUUAUACAUUUCAAUGCUAACAGUUCUGUUCCUUUGUUUAAGCUUCCCGAUUGUAGAUUGACUUCUCUUGUUGCUACAAAGCAAAACAAUGAAUCUAAAUGUGUUAAACAUGCCUUAGGUGAUACUCUGCAGUCUGAUUUAGAGACUAGAAAGAGAGUGAUUAUCAUUGGUGCUGGCCCUGCUGGGCUAACUGCUGCUCGCCACUUGAAUCGUCAGGGGUUUACUGUAACUGUGCUUGAGGCUAGGAAUAGGAUAGGAGGUCGGGUAUUUACAGACCACUCAUCUCUUUCUGUCCCUGUAGAUCUUGGUGCUAGCAUUAUCACAGGUGUUGAGGCUGAUGUGGCCACUGAGAGAAGACCAGAUCCUUCCUCGUUGGUUUGCGCUCAGUUGGGCCUUGAAUUGUCGGUGUUAAACAGCGACUGCCCACUUUAUGACACAGUGACUGGACAAAAAGUUCCUGCAGAUAUGGAUGAAGCAUUGGAAGCUGAAUACAACAGUCUUCUUGAUGACAUGGUACUGGUUGUUGCUCAGAAAGGUGAACAAGCAAUGAAAAUGUCUCUUGAAGACGGUUUAGAAUACGCCCUUAAGAUUCGCCGCACGGGACACUCUAAAGGCAGUGAAGAAACUAAGCAAAGUAAUUCUGCAGAUCGUCCAUUUGAUUCCAAAAGGGAUGGUGCUAUGGAACAAAAUUUUGAUGAGAUUUUGGAUCCUCGUGAGAGGAGGGUUAUGGAUUGGCACUUUGCUCAUUUAGAGUAUGGCUGUGCUGCUUUGCUUAAAGAAGUUUCUCUUCCUUAUUGGAAUCAAGACGACGUGUAUGGAGGAUUUGGGGGACCUCAUUGUAUGAUCAAAGGAGGUUAUAGCACUGUUGUUGAGUCUCUCGGGGAAGGGCUUGGUAUUCACUUGAACCACGUCGUAACAAAUGUGUCAUAUGGUAUCAAGGAACCUAGCAAGAAUAAUAAAGUCAAAGUUUCUACAUUGAAUGGCAAUGAGUUUUUUGGAGAUGCUGUCCUCAUUACUGUCCCACUUGGCUGUUUGAAGGCCAAAACUAUACAGUUCUCCCCCUCUUUGCCGGAGUGGAAAUGUUCUUCCAUUCAGCGUCUUGGCUUUGGAGUUCUCAAUAAAGUGAUUUUGGAAUUUCCUACUGUGUUUUGGGAUGAUGCGGUGGACUACUUUGGGGCAACAGCUGAGGAGAGAAGCAAAAGAGGUCACUGCUUCAUGUUCUGGAAUGUCAAGAAAACAGUAGGGGCUCCUGUCCUUAUAGCAUUAGUGGUUGGUAAGGCAGCCAUUGAUGGUCAAAGUUUAAGCUCUUCUGAUCAUGUGAACCAUGCAUUGAAGGUUCUUCGAAAACUCUUUGGGGAGGCUUCAGUUCCUGAUCCUCUUGCGUAUGUUGUGACCGAUUGGGGCAGGGAUCCCUAUAGCUUUGGUGCUUACUCUUAUGUUGCUGUUGGAGCAUCAGGAGAAGAUUAUGAUAUCAUAGGAAAACCAGUUGAUAACUGCUUGUUUUUUGCUGGGGAAGCAACCUGCAAAGAGCACCCUGAUACUGUUGGUGGUGCAAUGAUGAGCGGACUACGGGAGGCUGUUCGCAUAAUUGACAUAUUGAACACCGGGAUUGAUAAUACUGCAGAGGUAGAGGCAUUGGAAGUUGCACAGGGACAAUUGGACACCGAAAGGAAUGAAGUUAGGGACAUAAUAAAGAGACUUGAUGCAGUUGAGCUUUCUAAAUUGUAUAAAAACUCUUUUGAGGGUGCUCCAAUCUUAACCCGGGAAGCUUUAUUAAGGGAAAUGUUCCUCAAUGUGAAAACCAAUGCUGGGCGUUUGCAUGUGGCCAAACAAUUGCUAAGUCUUCCUGUUGGAAACUUGAAGUCCUUUGCUGGAAGUAAGGAGGGGCUAACUGUUCUCAACUCCUGGAUACUGGACUCGAUGGGCAAGGAUGGUACCCAACUUUUGAGGCAUUGUUUGCGUCUUCUUGUGCGUGUGUCGACUGAUCUAGGUGCUGUACGCUUAUCAGGAAUGGGGAAAACAGUGAAGGAAAAAGUUUGUGUACAUACUAGCCGUGAUAUUCGAGCUAUAGCUAGUCAAUUGGUCAAUGUAUGGCUUGAACUUUUCCGCAAGGAAAAAGCUUCAAAUGGGGGAUUGAAGUUAUCAAGACAAGCAACUACUGUAGAAUUGUCAAAGAGAAAAUCUUUAAAGGAUUCAGCCUUGGGAAAGCCUCCUCUAAGUAUACAUCAGGGUACCGUUGAGAAUAAAGGAGGCUUGCUGAAUCCUCUAUCUGCCGGAAGCAAUUCACCUUCCAACACACAUGCGAAGAAAUUGCACAGCAAACAAGGAAGACAACAAUCAGCAUGUGACUCGAGGCAUGAUGUCUGUUCUUCUAGGUCCCAAGGUUCAAUAGACAAAAUACCUACUAAGGAGGAAAAUAAUCACUAUGCUAUGUCUGAAGAAGAAAAGGCUGCUGUAGCUGCUGCAGAAGCUGCCCGUACUAAAGCAAUUGCUGCUGCUAAGGCAUAUGCCUCUGCAGAAGCUAGGUGCAGUACACUGUUACAGCUACCGAAGAUACCUUCAUUCCAUAAAUUUGCUAGACGGGAACAGUAUUCACAAAAUGAUGAGUGUGAUAGUAGAAAAAAGUUGUCUGGUGGUUUUUUUGGAAGGCAAGAUUGUGUUUCUGAGAUCGAUUCUAGGAAUUGCAGAGUUAGGGACUGGUCUGUUGAUUUUUCCACUGCUUGUGUUAAUCUUGAUAAUUCUAAAAUACCAGUUGACAACCUCUCACAAAGGAGUCAUUCAAAUGAGAUCGCCAGCCAUUUGAAUUUUGGAGAGCGUUCAGGAGAAAGUGCUGCCGUGGACAGCAAUCUAUAUACAAAAGCUUGGAUCGACACAGCUGGUGAUGGGGUAGUAAAAGACCAUCUUGCCAUAGAGAGAUGGCAAGAUCAAGCAGCUGAAGCUGAUUCUUAUUUUUCUAAUCAAAGCAUUCAUUUGAAGGAUGAGGAGGAUUCAAAUGCCUAUUCAAGGUUACCCAGCUGGAAACAUGAUGGUGUAGCAAAUGAAAGUUCUGUUUCCCAGGUUACUGUAAAUAAGGAGGAGGCCAGCAAAGGUCAUUCUCGAGGAGCAGAUCAUAUUAAACAGGCUGUUGUUGACUAUGUUGGAUCACUACUUUUGCCCCUUUAUAAGGCUAGGAAGCUAGACAAGGAUGGAUACAAGGCAAUAAUGAAGAAAAGUGCAACAAAGGUCAUGGAGCAAGCAACGGAUGCAGAAAAAGCCAUGACUGUUCGUGAGUUUCUAGAUUUUAAGCGAAGGAAUAAGAUUCGCUCCUUUGUGGAUAUAUUGAUUGAGAGACAUAUGGCAACAAGACCGGGUAGAAAAUCAUAAUAUUUUUUAGUUGCAUGGCCCGUACUUUUUGUGCUUCUACACAAGGUUACUCGAGUCUGGUUCUUCUUACAAUUCUCGGUUUGGGUGGUCGUGAAUAAAUUCUCAUAUGAGCAUUUCAAGCUUCCAAUAUAAAUGAUCCAGAAGCUGCAAUAGAAGAAACUUAUCAAAGUUCAUCGGUCCAAAUCAAGUGGGCUCUGGAAAAUUGCUGUCUUGGCAACCAUGAACAGAAUAAAGGUGACAGAUAACAGUUGAUCGAUCCGAAUCAAGUGGACUCUGGAAUUUUGUUGUCCUGGCAAGUGACAAUCAUGAACAGAAUACUAAAUUAUAAUGGUGGAUUAUCUGCAAACUCGGUGCAUACAUCAGUUGGAUCUUUUGGGUGACCUGCAUUGGCAGAUUUGAUGAUGAUAAGAGAUUGCAGCCAUCUGUCCUUAUUACUUCAUCUUUCAUUGAGGUUUACGCCUCCAUGGCUGAAAUCUUAGACCCCAUUUUUAUUAAAGGGGUUUCCAAUGGGAAACACUGACCUUAUCAAUUCUUCUAAUUGUACAGCGUAGGAUUGUUCUUAGUGAUGAAAAACAUACAUAAUCCAUUUCCAUGUUCUUCGAGAAACACUUUUCUUCUUUAUGUUUUAUAUCAAUCUCUGACUCUUUUCAUUCUCCAAAGUGGGAAGAAUGUCACUUUUGUAAAGAUACUUUGUUGCACUAAUCAUUUUCUUCUCAUUCGUGAUGCAUGCGAGUACCCUUCCUAUUUAUAGUCGAGUCAGCUUCCAAGUUUGUGCUUCAAAAAAUUAAAUAGAAAAUUCACAUCCUUAGCAACUGAGCCUGCUACUUAGCUAUAAUUAUGGUUCAUAGGAUUGUGCCAUGAGAUGCCCAACAGCACAGGCUGAGAGAUUUUGUGAAUCACUGAUGGGAUACAUACUUGCCCGGUGAUUUGGUGUUCUAUUGCAACUCUUACUUUCACAACCAAUUUUAAGACUGUCUCCACACCAGCAAUAUGUUAAUUGGAUUAAAAAAGUAUUGCUGCCAGGGAAAUUAUAUUCCGUUGGCCAUAUCUAGGGGUGAGUCCAUUUUUGACAUUUUCAACAAUUACCCAUCAUAUUGGUUAGAUACCUAUUGUAAAUGAUGGUUACCGAGAAUUUGCGUGGUGUUUACUAGUCGAAUGUCCCUAAUUGUCGAAUGAGACCCUAUUAUAAAUGCUGGUUACCGAGAAUUUUCGUGGUGACCCUAAUUUUUAGCGAAAUUGUUUUGAAGUGCCUGCAUACACCCAAUGGAAAAUUAUCCUUAUUUCUA
Molecule: RNA transcript, 7254 nt
Organism: Trifolium pratense (red clover)
Lineage: Eukaryota; Viridiplantae; Streptophyta; Magnoliopsida; Fabales; Fabaceae
Gene name: lysine-specific histone demethylase 1 homolog 3
Exons: 11
Source: RefSeq, a predicted model, not a curated record